CCCAGCUAGUCAUGCUAGAGCACUUUUUCAAUGUGCUACCCAACAACAACGCAUUUGUAUGUCAAUCCAUAUCAACUUUCAAUGACAUUUACUGCGCCUACCAUGGUGAGAACGGGUAACUGUGAAUCAGGGUUCGAUUCCGUACAGGGACCCUGACAAAUGGCUACCACAUGCAAGGAAGGCAGCAGGCGCGCAAAUUACCCACUCCCGACACGGGGAGGUAGUGACG
Molecule: non-coding RNA, 229 nt
Organism: Pelobates cultripes (western spadefoot toad)
Lineage: Eukaryota; Metazoa; Chordata; Amphibia; Anura; Pelobatidae
Source: the annotation of a GenBank genome assembly